GUACGGAGGGUGCAAGCGUUGUUCGGAAUUAUUGGGCGUAAAGCGCGUGUAGGCGGUUGGUUAAGUCUGAUGUGAAAGCCCUGGGCUCAACCCGGGAAGUGCAUUGGAAACUGGCUGACUUGAGUACGGGAGAGGGUAGUGGAAUUUCGAGUGUAGGGGUGAAAUCCGUAGAUAUUCGAAGGAACACCGGUGGCGAAGGCGGCUACCUGGACCGAUACUGACGCUGAGACGCGAAAGCGUGGGAAGC
Molecule: ribosomal RNA, 247 nt
Filed under: uncultured bacterium
Lineage: Bacteria
Description: partial 16S ribosomal RNA
Rfam family: Bacterial small subunit ribosomal RNA
Source: RNAcentral